AAGGGCCGGGCGGGGAGGCGUCAGGAGGCGGCUCCGGUAAUUCGCCCGUCAAAGUUGUCUGGGAAUGCUGUGGCUGCCACUAUGACACCAGCGAACGGACUAUCGCAUCGCAUCUCCCUGCCGCGCUUUCUCAUCUGGAGAAACAACCGAUUCCUAUUUAAGGCAUCUUCGGUAUCUAAUUAAUUCCACGGGCUCGCCUGCACAGGUCGUCGGUGCUCUGUGUCAAUGAACGGUCUUUGUUAUCGCUAUGUAAAAUCCGGCAGCGAUUUCAGCAGGAAUUUCUAAGCCACCCUGUUCUAGGAAAGCCAUUAGCUCCCCCUCAUGCAAUUAGUGGAGACUGCUCCCUUUUCUUCCUUUGCGAUACCACAGAGACUUAAGAACCCAAGUGUACGGGAACAGUAGGAAUAAACAAAAUACAUUAAUAUAACGAUAA
Non-coding RNA from Coturnix japonica (Japanese quail), 433 nucleotides. NCBI's taxonomy places the organism in Eukaryota, Metazoa, Chordata, Aves, Galliformes, Phasianidae. The record is from RefSeq and is a predicted model, not a curated record.